This 1377-nucleotide long non-coding RNA is filed under the name Citrus x clementina. RNAcentral describes it as "Citrus clementina (C. clementina) long non-coding RNA (CCLE_LNC000110)". Lineage: Eukaryota; Viridiplantae; Streptophyta; Magnoliopsida; Sapindales; Rutaceae. The record is from RNAcentral.
CUCAAGUCCUGCCGAGCCCGACCCAGGCCCACACGCUUAACUGACUGUGGGCCUAAAUCUGAGCUUGAAAAAGCCCGGCCCAAGCCCGUUGUUUGCUAUCCCUAGGUGCCAAUGGAUCCAAUUAAAAAAAACAUAUCUCCGUCGGUAUUGACACGAGGACCACGCGAGACUGAGUAGAGCUGACCCAACGGAAGCCCAAACCAACUUGGGCAGGCCCCAGUCUUUAGCUACAAAGCCCAAUAAAUAUUAUGAAUUUGGUUAUUCAUUCGGUUUGAAUGGGUCGGGCUGAGUCGAUACUAUUAAGUUUUAACAUUUUUCUUUCACAAUAUCUGUACGUUGCAACCAGAAAUCAGCAAAUAUUAGCAAAUGAAAUAUUUAGCGUGCAACUUAAAUUAAGUUUAUGAUGACAUAAAUAUUAGAGGAGCCCUUACUACUCUCAUACGUAACCCAUACACAAGGGUAAAGCUAUUAAGGGGCCAGAGCUGGGCUAUAUAGUCUAGGCAAAGUUUGGCAAAAAUUUUUAGUUUUAGUUUUUUUAUUAUAUAGUGCUGAUGUUUGUUCACAAAAUUAAUAUGCAGUAUUUACAAAACUAGUUACCACUGUUAUAUUUUACAAAACUGACAAAAUAAUAUUUAAAAGUUUAUCACUCAAUUUGUUUUAGAAUUUGGCCACUGUCAUUUUCCUCAACUUCUUCUCCAUUCCAUCUCGUUUUAGGUUUUUUUUUUUUUUAUAUGUCGCAGGUAAACUUGUGAUAACAAGACAUUUAUCGAUUAUUUGGUUUUUAACUCUUCAAAGUUGGAACCUUUCUAUGAUUUAUGGGGAAUACCGUACCACACAGACUGGGCAUCAUCGGAUAAUUAAAUGGGCAAAGCUUAUGUUACAUUUGUUGUAACAAACAAUCAGUACAUUUGGGUGGUUGGAUUUUAAUAUUUUUCAAUCCAAUUAAUGAAUGAAAAUAACUUUAACCUAAAACGAGGUAUGGGUGUAAUAGUUUUUUACAAAAUUUUUAUUUUGAAUCACAUAUUUGUUUUUUUUUUAAGUAAGUCCUCAUUAAUUUUGUAUAACUAAAUGACUUUGUUAACCAUCUCUUCUACAUUUAUUCUUAAAAUUUUUUAAAGUUUUUACUAUAUUUUUAUAAAGAUCUAAAUAAUUAUCAUAUUCAUAAAUAUUUACAAGUUUUGAAUAUAUAUUUGUAUCUGCAUUUAUAAUUUCUUAUCUCUCCUAAGAAUAAACUAGAUUAUAUGUAUGUAUGUAUAUAAAAUUUAUAUUUAGCAUCUUCGAUUAUAAGAGAUAUUAUAUGUCAUAAAUAUGUUAUGACUCUAAUAAAUUACUAGAAAGAUGUUACAAUGAAUAAAUCAUUAGAAUCUCUAAUAAUUU